This 75-nucleotide transfer RNA is filed under the name Chlamydiota bacterium. RNAcentral's name for it is "Chlamydiae bacterium tRNA-Ile". It matches the Rfam family "tRNA". From Rfam's summary of the family: Transfer RNA (tRNA) molecules are approximately 80 nucleotides in length. Their secondary structure includes four short double-helical elements and three loops (D, anti-codon, and T loops). Further hydrogen bonds mediate the characteristic L-shaped molecular structure. tRNAs have two regions of fundamental functional importance: the anti-codon, which is responsible for specific mRNA codon recognition, and the 3' end, to which the tRNAs corresponding amino acid is attached (by aminoacyl-tRNA synthetases). tRNAs cope with the degeneracy of the genetic code in two manners: having more than one tRNA (with a specific anti-codon) for a particular amino acid; and 'wobble' base-pairing, i.e. permitting non-standard base-pairing at the 3rd anti-codon position. Lineage: Bacteria; Pseudomonadati; Chlamydiota. The record is from RNAcentral.
UGUCCGGUAGUUUAACUGGCAAAACACGAAACUGAUAAUUUCGAGAUUCAGGUUCGAGGCCAGGCCGGACUACCA